UGAUGAAAUUACAUUACGAUUAGGUUACACAGGUGUUGUUAAUCGAUCCACAGCUGACAUAAAACAGGGUAAAAGUAUAGCUGAGUCUUUAAAAAGUGAAUUAGCUUUUUUUCAAAAUCAUCCCAUAUAUAAAAAAUUACCACCAACAUUAUAUGGAACUGCAUCUUUAACAGAUAAAUUAACAAAGGUAUUGUUAAGACAUAUAAAAAACAUUUUACCUGAUAUUAAAUUCGAAAUAAAUGAUAAAAUUCGUUUAAUAAAUGAAAAGUUAUAUGAAUUAGGUACAAAUGUCCCUUUAGAUGCAAAUAAAAAAACACAAUUAUUAUGGUCUAUGAUAACAGAUUAUUGUGAAAUUUUUAAAAAUACAUUAAAAGGAAAAUAUGAUAAACGAUUACAAGUAUUUAUAGAAAAUAAUGACAUUAUAUGUGGCCUUAAGGUACGUACUAUUUUUAAUGAAUUUUUAGAUGAGUAUGUAGGAGUAAAUGCAACAAGUGAAUUAACUGACUAUGACAUAGAUGAUGCUAUUUGUUUGCAUGAAGGGGAUAGUUUACCUGGUUUCCCAUCACCUGAUACUUUUGAAUUUUUAAUAUUACCACAUUUAAAAAAAAUACAUGGUCCUGUAUUUAAUUGUUUAGAUAAGGUUAGUCAAACAUUAGAAAUAUUGUCACAAAAAAUAGCUACUCGAAUAUUAAAUAGAUUUCCACAAUUGUCAGAACAAGUACUAGAGUUAUCACAAACUAUUUUGAUUAGAGAAAAAGAAAAUACGCGUAUUAUUUUGGAAAAUUUUAUCGAAGCUGAGACAAAUUAUUUAUUUACUAAUGAUGCUUCUUAUCUUAUUGAACAUGGAAGUAUUAUUAAUUCUAAUGACGAUGAAUCAAACGAAGUAACAAACCAAGAUUAUAACAACAGUAGUAAUACUAACAUGUAUAGUAGAAAUCCAAAUAAAAAAAUGGUGCCUGGAUUAAUAAACUCGAACCAUGAUAAUAUGAAUAAUAAUACUAACAAUAUAACGAACAUAAAUAAUAGUAGUAGUGGUAAUAUGAAUAGUAAUAGUAGUAAU
This 1060-nucleotide long non-coding RNA is filed under the name Piliocolobus tephrosceles (Ugandan red Colobus). RNAcentral's name for it is "lncRNA (ENSPTEG00000006480.1)". Lineage: Eukaryota; Metazoa; Chordata; Mammalia; Primates; Cercopithecidae. The record is from RNAcentral.